This 389-nucleotide ribosomal RNA is filed under the name uncultured Nitrospina sp. Its description in RNAcentral is "bacterial SSU rRNA". It matches the Rfam family "Bacterial small subunit ribosomal RNA", at positions 29 to 410 of the family's 1533-position model. The record is from RNAcentral. Lineage: Bacteria; Pseudomonadati; Nitrospinota; Nitrospinia; Nitrospinales; Nitrospinaceae.
AACGAACGCUGGCGGCGUGCCUAACACAUGCAAGUCGAACGAGAAAGUUUCCUUCGGGAAACCAGUAAAGUGGCGCAAGGGUGAGUAACACGUGAAUAAUCUGCCUACGAAUUCGGGAUAACUCGGCGAAAGUUGUGCUAAUACCGAAUAAGACCACGUUUAUUAUGUAAUGUGGCCAAAGGAGUCUCAAACUCCGUUUGUAGAUGAGUUCGCGGACCAUUAGCUUGUUGGCGGGGUAACAGCCCACCAAGGCUACGAUGGUUAGCCGGCCUGAGAGGGUGAUCGGCCACACUGGAACUGAGACACGGUCCAGACUCCUACGGGAGGCAGCAGUGGGGAAUAUUGCGCAAUGGGCGAAAGCCUGACGCAGCAACGCCGCGUGAGGGAUG